Vidua chalybeata is the source of this 465-nucleotide long non-coding RNA. RefSeq lists it as uncharacterized. NCBI's taxonomy places the organism in Eukaryota, Metazoa, Chordata, Aves, Passeriformes, Viduidae. The record is from RefSeq and is a predicted model, not a curated record. The transcript is spliced from 3 exons.
UUCAAGGUUGUGUGUUGUGUCAUGUCACACAAAUCUGAGUGUGAAUCAGAUUAUAUUGUAGUGAGAGAAAAAGCUGCUGUGGAUGCCCUUGAGAAAAUGAGACUUGCACCUUUCAAAUGCUUUUGGAGAAAUGCAGAAGGACAGCAGUCUCUGCUGGCUAGGCGGGCUGGUACACUUUCAUCCUCUAUGCAGAGAGAUGGCCACAAGAAAAGAGGUCCUGGCUAAGGCAACAGAAAGCCUGAAAGGAAAGGGAAUAAGAAAACUUGCAGAGUGAAGUGAACAAGAAGUCCUUUUUGAAUGGGAUUCUGGAUUGAAGAGAGAGGCAGUUUGCGGCAAUGCGAUAGUCAUAGCAGAACAUUUCCAUGCCUCUGAAGAGGAGUAUUCAUAUGGGUACCAAGGGACACAGAUUUUUUUUAUUUAGAAAGGGAAUUUCAGUAAAAAAGUUGAGUGGAGAUAAAGAUGCAG